CCUACGGGGGGCAGCAGUGGGGAAUAUUGCACAAUGGGGGAAACCCUGAUGCAGCGAUGCCGCGUGAAGGAAGAAGGCCUUCGGAUCGUAAACUACUAUCAGCAGGGAGGAAGAAAGUGACAGUACUUGACCAAGAAGUCACGGCAAACUACGAGCCAGCAGCCGCGAGAACACGUCGGGGGCACGCGUUAUCCGGAAUCACUGGGUGUAAAGGGGGAGUAGGCGGCCCUGCAGGUCAGGAGGUAAAUCCCUGGGCUCAACCGGGGAUAGCUCUUGAAACUGUAGGGCUUGAGUGCAGGAGAGGUAAGCGGAAUUCCUGGUGUAGCGGUGAAAUGCGUAGAUAUUAGGAGGAACACCAGUGGCGAAGGCGGCUCUCUGGACUGCAACUGACGCUGAGGCACGAAAGCGUGGGGAGCGAACAGGAUUAGAUACCCUUGUAGUC
Molecule: ribosomal RNA, 442 nt
Filed under: uncultured bacterium
Lineage: Bacteria
Description: bacterial SSU rRNA
Rfam family: Bacterial small subunit ribosomal RNA
Source: RNAcentral